UGAGUACGAGAUGCUACGGCAUCGAAGCAGUCUAUGUCAUACUUCCAAGAAAAGCUUGCACUGUCAGAAACAGAUAAUGCCUGUACCAUAACCGACACAGGUGGGUAGGUAGAGUAUACUAAGGGGCGCGAGAUAACUCUCUCUAAGGAACUCGGCAAAAUGACUCCGUAACUUCGGGAGAAGGAGUGCCUUAUUUUUAAGGUUGCAAUAACAAGAUCCAAGCAACUGUUUACCAAAAACACAGGUCUCCGCUAAGUCGUAAGACGAUGUAUGGGGGCUGACGCCUGCCCAGUGCCAGAAGGUUAAAGAAGUCGGUUAGCAUUCGCGAAGCUGGUAACUGAAGCCCUGGUGAACGGCGGCCGUAACAAUAACGGUCCUAAGGUAGCGAAAUUCCUUGUCGGGUAAGUUCCGACCCGCACGAAAGGCGUAAUGAUUUGGAUACUGUCUCGGAGAGGGGCUCGGUGAAAUAGACUUGUCUGUGAAGAUGCGGACUACCUGCACCUGGACAGAAAGACCCUAUGAAGCUUUACUGUAACUUGAAAUUGAAAUUGGACUUUAUUUGCGCAGUAUAGGUGGGAGGCGUUGAAAAUAUUCUUGCGGGAAUAUUGGAGCCAUCAGUGAGAUACCACUCUUGUAAUGUUAGAUUUCUAACUUUAUAUCAUUAUCUGGUUAAAGAACAGUUCCAGGCGGGCAGUUUGACUGGGGCGGUCGCCUCCCAAAUGGUAACGGAGGCGCACAAAGGUUUCCUCUGAACGGGUAGAAAUCGUAUCUAGAGUGUAAAGGCAUAAGGAAGCUUGACUGUGAGACCUACAAGUCGAGCAGGGACGAAAGUCGGUCUUAGUGAUCUGACGGUGCAGAGUGGAGAGGCCGUCACUCAACGGAUAAAAGUUACUCUAGGAUAACAGGCUGAUCUCCCCCAAGAGUUCACAUCGACGGGGAGGUUUGGCACCUCGAUGUCGGCUCAUCGCAUCCUGGGGCGGUAGUACGUCCCAAGGGUUGGGCUGUUCGCCCAUGAAAGCGGUACGCGAGCUGGGUUCAGAACGUCGUGAGACAGUUCGGUCCAUAUCCGGUGUAGGCGUUAGAAUAUUGAGAGGAGCCUUCUUUAGUACGAGAGGACCGAGAAGGACAUACCUCUGGUGUACCAGUUAUCGUGCCAACGGUAAACGCUGGGUAGCUAUGUAUGGAGUGGAUAACCGCUGAAAGCAUCUAAGUGGGAAGCCCACCUCAAGAUAAGUAUUCUCACC
This 1244-nucleotide ribosomal RNA is filed under the name metagenome. Its description in RNAcentral is "bacterial LSU rRNA". It matches the Rfam family "Bacterial large subunit ribosomal RNA", at positions 1564 to 2818 of the family's 2925-position model. The record is from RNAcentral.